Molecule: ribosomal RNA, 510 nt
Filed under: uncultured bacterium
Lineage: Bacteria
Description: bacterial SSU rRNA
Rfam family: Bacterial small subunit ribosomal RNA
Source: RNAcentral
AGCUAAUAGACUACCCCGGUACGUCCCAGCAGUAAACGGUGCGCGUUUGGUGUGAGCAGAUUCGACUCUGUUCGCGCCGGAGCUAACGACGUUAAACGCGCCGCCUGGGAAGUACGAUCGCAAAGAAUUAAAACUACAAAAGAAAUUGGACGGGGGCCCGCACAAGCGGUGGAGUAUGUGGCUUAAUUCGAUGCAACGCGAAGAACCUUACCUGGGUUUGACAUGCAUCUCUAAGGAGGUGAAAGCUUCCGAGGGUAGCAAUACCCGAUUUGCACAGGUGCUGCAUGGCUGUCGUCAGCUCGUGUCGUGAGAUGUUGGGUUUAAGUCCCGCAACGAGCGCAACCCUUGUAUGCUGUUGCUAUGCUUACGCAUAGCUCUCUGCGUAGACUGCCCCGUGAAACGGGGAGGAAGGUGGGGAUGACGUCAAGUCAGCAUGGCCCUUACACCCAGGGCUGCACACGUACUACAAUGCUCAGUACAAUUAGAACCUGCCCCGCGAGGGUUGGGAAA